RNAcentral lists this ribosomal RNA (402 nucleotides) under uncultured bacterium. RNAcentral's name for it is "bacterial SSU rRNA". It matches the Rfam family "Bacterial small subunit ribosomal RNA", at positions 355 to 754 of the family's 1533-position model. The record is from RNAcentral.
UAGGGAAUAUUGGUCAAUGGGUGAGAGCCUGAACCAGCCAUGCCGCGUGCAGGAAGACGGCCUUCUGGGUUGUAAACUGCUUUUAUCUGGGGAUAAAAAAGCCCAUGCGUGGGACAUUGAAGGUACCAGAUGAAUAAGCACCGGCUAACUACGUGCCAGCAGCCGCGGUAAUACGUAGGGUGCAAGCGUUGUCCGGAUUUAUUGGGUUUAAAGGGUGCGUAGGCGGUCUAUUAAGUCAGUGGUGAAAUCCAACAGCUCAACUGUUGAUGUGCCAAUGAUACUGAUGGACUUGAGUACAGACGAGGUAGGCGGAAUUGACAGUGUAGCGGUGAAAUGCAUAGAUAUUGCCAAGAACACCGAUAGCGAAGGCAGCUUGCUAGCCUGUAACUGACGCUGAGGCAC